GAACGCUGGCGGCAUGCCUUACACAUGCAAGUCGAACGGUAACAGGUCUUCGGACGCUGACGAGUGGCGAACGGGUGAGUAAUACAUCGGAACGUGCCCAGUCGUGGGGGAUAACUACUCGAAAGAGUAGCUAAUACCGCAUACGAUCUGAGGAUGAAAGCGGGGGACCUUCGGGCCUCGCGCGAUUGGAGCGGCCGAUGGCAGAUUAGGUAGUUGGUGGGAUAAAAGCUUACCAAGCCGACGAUCUGUAGCUGGUCUGAGAGGACGACCAGCCACACUGGGACUGAGACACGGCCCAGACUCCUACGGGAGGCAGCAGUGGGGAAUUUUGGACAAUGGGCGAAAGCCUGAUCCAGCAAUGCCGCGUGCAGGAUGAAGGCCUUCGGGUUGUAAACUGCUUUUGUACGGAACGAAAAAGCUUCUCCUAAUACGAGAGGCCCAUGACGGUACCGUAAGAAUAAGCACCGGCUAACUACGUGCCAGCAGCCGCGGUAAUACGUAGGGUGCGAGCGUUAAUCGGAAUUACUGGGCGUAAAGCGUGCGCAGGCGGUUAUGUAAGACAGAUGUGAAAUCCCCGGGCUCAACCUGGGAACUGCAUUUGUGACUGCAUGGCUAGAGUACGGUAGAGGGGGAUGGAAUUCCGCGUGUAGCAGUGAAAUGCGUAGAUAUGCGGGGGAACACCGAUGGCGAAGGCAAUCCCCUGGACCUGUACUGACGCUCAUGCACGAAAGCGU
This 734-nucleotide ribosomal RNA is filed under the name uncultured bacterium. RNAcentral describes it as "bacterial SSU rRNA". It matches the Rfam family "Bacterial small subunit ribosomal RNA", at positions 31 to 762 of the family's 1533-position model. The record is from RNAcentral.